AAACUAACAAGGAUUCCCCUAGUAGCGGCGAGCGAAGCGGGAAGAGCUCAAAUUUAUAAUCUGGCACCUUCGGUGUCCGAGUUGUAAUCUCUAGAAGUGUUUUCCGCGUUGGACCGCACACAAGUCUGUUGGAAUACAGCGGCAUAGUGGUGAGACCCCCGUAUAUGGUGCGGACGCCCAACGCUUUGUGAUACACUUUCGAAGAGUCGAGUUGUUUGGGAAUGCAGCUCAAAUUGGGUGGUAAAUUCCAUCUAAAGCUAAAUAUUGGCGAGAGACCGAUAGCGAACAAGUACCGUGAGGGAAAGAUGAAAAGCACUUUGGAAAGAGAGUUAACAGUACGUGAAAUUGUUGGAAGGGAAACGCUUGAAGUCAGACUUGCUUGCCGAGCAAUCGGUUUGCAGGCCAGCAUCAGUUUUCCGGGGUGGAUAAUGGUAGAGAGAAGGUAGCAGUUUCGGCUGUGUUAUAGCUCUUUGCUGGAUACACCUUGGGGGACUGAGGAACGCAGUGUGCCUUACGGCGGAUUUCUCGAGAUCUUCACACUUAGGAUGCUGGAGGGGUGGCUUUAACCGACC
This 572-nucleotide ribosomal RNA is filed under the name Rhodotorula taiwanensis. Its description in RNAcentral is "LSU rRNA". It matches the Rfam family "Eukaryotic large subunit ribosomal RNA", at positions 62 to 649 of the family's 3401-position model. The record is from RNAcentral. Lineage: Eukaryota; Fungi; Basidiomycota; Microbotryomycetes; Sporidiobolales; Sporidiobolaceae.